GGAAGUAAAAGUCGUAACAAGAUUUCCGUAGGUGAACCUGCGGAAGGAUCAUUCAUAAUAAAGUGUUUUAUGGCACUUUUUAAAAAUCCAUAUCCACCUUGUGUGCAAUGUUAGAUCUCGUCAAUCUUGGCGAGAUUUUUAUACAUCAACUCAUUCUUCAACUAAUUUGUCUGAAAAAUAUUAUGAAUACUUAAUUCAAAAUACAACUUUCAACAACGGAUCUCUUGGCUCUC
RNAcentral lists this unclassified non-coding RNA (233 nucleotides) under plant metagenome. RNAcentral's name for it is "partial contains small subunit ribosomal RNA, internal transcribed spacer 1, and 5.8S ribosomal RNA". The stretch from base 1 to 54 matches the Rfam family "Eukaryotic small subunit ribosomal RNA", at positions 1778 to 1831 of the family's 1831-position model. The record is from RNAcentral.